This 497-nucleotide ribosomal RNA is filed under the name uncultured bacterium. RNAcentral's name for it is "partial 16S ribosomal RNA". It matches the Rfam family "Bacterial small subunit ribosomal RNA", at positions 28 to 507 of the family's 1533-position model. The record is from RNAcentral.
GAUGAACGCUGGCGGCGUGCCUAAUACAUGCAAGUCGAGCGAACGGACGAGAAGCUUGCUUCUCUGAUGUUAGCGGCGGACGGGUGAGUAACACGUGGAUAACCUACCUAUAAGACUGGGAUAACUUCGGGAAACCGGAGCUAAUACCGGAUAAUAUUUUGAACCGCAUGGUUCAAAAGUGAAAGACGGUCUUGCUGUCACUUAUAGAUGGAUCCGCGCUGCAUUAGCUAGUUGGUAAGGUAACGGCUUACCAAGGCAACGAUGCAUAGCCGACCUGAGAGGGUGAUCGGCCGCACUGGAACUGAGACACGGUCCAGACGCCUACGGGAGGCAGCAGUAGGGAAUCUUCCGCAAAGGGCGAAAGCCUGACGGAGCAACGCCGCGUGAGUGAUGAAGGUCUUCGGAUCGUAAAACUCUGUUAUUAGGGAAGAACAUAUGUGUAAGUAACUGUGCACAUCUUGACGGUACCUAAUCAGAAAGCCACGGCUAACUACGUG